CCUACGGGUGGCAGCAGUGAGGAAUAUUGGUCAAUGGGCGCGAGCCUGAACCAGCCAAGUAGCGUGAAGGAUGACUGCCCUACGGGUUGUAAACCUCUUUUAUAAAGGAAUAAAGUGAGGCACGUGUGCCUUUUUGCAGGUACCUUAUGAAUAAGGAUCGGCUAACUCCGUGCCAGCAGCCGCGGUAAUACGGAGGAACCGAGCGUUAUCCGGAUUUAUUGGGUUUAAAGGGAGCGGAGUUGGGUUGUUAAGUCCGUUGUGAAAGUUUGCGGCUCAACCGUAAAAUUGCACUUGAUACUGGCAGUCUUGAGUACAGUUGAGGUAGGCGGAAUUCGUGGUGUAGCG
This 345-nucleotide ribosomal RNA is filed under the name uncultured bacterium. RNAcentral's name for it is "partial 16S ribosomal RNA". It matches the Rfam family "Bacterial small subunit ribosomal RNA", at positions 338 to 680 of the family's 1533-position model. The record is from RNAcentral.